UACGAAGGGGGCUAGCGUUGCUCGGAAUCACUGGGCGUAAAGGGUGGGUAGGCGGGUCUUUAAGUCAGGGGUGAAAUCCUGGAGCUCAACUCCAGAACUGCCUUUGAUACUGAGGAUCUUGAGUACGGGAGAGGUGAGUGGAACUGCGAGUGUAGAGGUGAAAUUCGUAGAUAUUCGCAAGAACACCAGUGGCGAAGGCGGCUCACUGGCCCGUUACUGACGCUGAGGCACGAAAGCGUGGGGAGCAAACAGG
This 253-nucleotide ribosomal RNA is filed under the name uncultured bacterium. RNAcentral describes it as "partial 16S ribosomal RNA". It matches the Rfam family "Bacterial small subunit ribosomal RNA", at positions 524 to 776 of the family's 1533-position model. The record is from RNAcentral.